This 431-nucleotide ribosomal RNA is filed under the name uncultured marine eukaryote. Its description in RNAcentral is "bacterial SSU rRNA". It matches the Rfam family "Eukaryotic small subunit ribosomal RNA", at positions 612 to 1042 of the family's 1831-position model. The record is from RNAcentral.
GUUGCAGUUAAAAAGCUCGUAGUCGAAUUUUUAAGGGAAUCAAUUUUAUGUGGUCUUAAUGAACUGCAAAGGAAGAUGAUUUAUCUUAUUUUAUGCUUUUGCACCAUUGGAAUUCGUUUUCUGAUAGUGGAGUAAGUUUGUGUUUACCUUGAGAAAAUUAGAGUGUUCAAAGCAGUCUUACGGCUUUAUAUUAAAGCAUGGAAUGAUAAAUAAUGACAUCGGUAAAUUUUUGUUGGUUUGAGAGACCGAUGUAAUGAUUUAUAGAGUUAGUCGGAGGUAUUAGUAUUUUAUCGUUAGAAGUGAAAUUCUGGGAUCGGCAAAAGACUAACAACUGCGAAAGCAUUUACCUAGAAUGUGCUCCUUGAUCAAGAACGUAAGUUGGGGGAUCGAAGACGAUCAGAUACCGUCGUAGUCUCAACUUUAAACUAUAU